RNAcentral lists this ribosomal RNA (617 nucleotides) under Thaxterogaster herpeticus. Its description in RNAcentral is "eukaryotic LSU rRNA". It matches the Rfam family "Eukaryotic large subunit ribosomal RNA", at positions 1 to 618 of the family's 3401-position model. Lineage: Eukaryota; Fungi; Basidiomycota; Agaricomycetes; Agaricales; Cortinariaceae. The record is from RNAcentral.
UGACCUCAAAUCAGGUAGGACUACCCGCUGAACUUAAGCAUAUCAAUAAGCGGAGGAAAAGAAACUAACAAGGAUUCCCCUAGUAACUGCGAGUGAAGUGGGAAAAGCUCAAAUUUAAAAUCUGGCAGUCUCUGGCUGUCCGAGUUGUAAUCUAGAGAAGUGUUAUCCGCGCUGGACCGUGUACAAGUCUCCUGGAAUGGAGCGUCAUAGAGGGUGAGAAUCCCGUCUUUGACACGGACUGCCAGGGCUUUGUGAUGCGCUCUCAAAGAGUCGAGUUGUUUGGGAAUGCAGCUCAAAAUGGGUGGUAAAUUCCAUCUAAAGCUAAAUAUUGGCGAGAGACCGAUAGCGAACAAGUACCGUGAGGGAAAGAUGAAAAGAACUUUGGAAAGAGAGUUAAACAGUACGUGAAAUUGCUGAAAGGGAAACGCUUGAAGUCAGUCGCGUUGGUCAGGGAUCAACCUUGCUUUUGCUAGGUGUACUUUCUGGUUGACGGGUCAGCAUCAAUUUUGAUCAUUGGAAAAAGAUUAGGGGAAUGUGGCAUCCUUGGAUGUGUUAUAGCCCUUGGUUGUAUACAAUGGUUGGGAUUGAGGAGCUCAGCACGCCGCAAGGCCGGGUUU